AGAACGAACGCUGGCGGCAUGCCUAAUACAUGCAAGUCGAACGAACACUUCGGUGUUAGUGGCGCACGGGUGCGUAACGCGUGGGAAUCUGCCCUUGGGUUCGGAAUAACAGUUGGAAACGACUGCUAAUACCGGAUGAUGACGAAAGUCCAAAGAUUUAUCGCCCAGGGAUGAGCCCGCGUAGGAUUAGCUAGUUGGUGAGGUAAAGGCUCACCAAGGCGACGAUCCUUAGCUGGUCUGAGAGGAUGAUCAGCCACACUGGGACUGAGACACGGCCCAGACUCCGUACGGGAGGCAGCAGUAGGGAAUAUUGGACAAUGGGCGCAAGCCUG
RNAcentral lists this ribosomal RNA (332 nucleotides) under uncultured soil bacterium. RNAcentral's name for it is "bacterial SSU rRNA". It matches the Rfam family "Bacterial small subunit ribosomal RNA", at positions 26 to 385 of the family's 1533-position model. The record is from RNAcentral.